Long non-coding RNA from Erigeron canadensis, 726 nucleotides. RefSeq lists it as uncharacterized. The transcript is spliced from 3 exons. NCBI's taxonomy places the organism in Eukaryota, Viridiplantae, Streptophyta, Magnoliopsida, Asterales, Asteraceae. The record is from RefSeq and is a predicted model, not a curated record.
UAAAAUAUAUUCUUUUAUAUUAUGAUGUUUAUAUCAUCUUUUGAGCAAUCUCUAUGAUCAUGUUUUCAAAAGUUGAGCACUCGGUGGAUGGUUUAGCCAGGCAGAUGCAUUGAGGUUUGAAACACAUAUGAUAGUGGAUGGUGCAAUAACCCAGCAUAGGACUGAUUUCUAUGGUGAAGGGGAACUAUCGGCCCGACUGAUGCACCUUGUAGAGUUUACGAGGAUCCUCCAGUAAUUAAAAGACGAGGUGUUGCCACCAAGGGUAGAGUAAGGAAAGGGUUCUUAUUAGUAUGUGAUUUGGAGGCUGAUUUGCUAAUGUUUUGGGCACUUUUGGAAGUUGUUUUCAAGUUAUCUUAAACCAUUAUUUAUGAUGCUUAUAUUCUCAUGAUCGUAUUUCUGUUCAUAUAUAAAUGCUUCUCCAAACUUUUUGAAGAAAGAAGAGAGGUUGAGGGAAGAGUUUACCAAGAACAUUUAUGCAUUGAAAAUUUCAAAGAAUGUUGGAACUACAUACCCCGGUUUAGAAUUCUCCGCUAGCCAGCUCCAAAUGUCAGAAGAAUCCCUUAAAGGUGUUCACUUAUGUGAGGCCUGUAGCUGUUUCAAAGGAGUAAAUGAUCUCCUAAUCAAUAUUGGAAGUUUGUUCCCUUUUACACUAUAUGUACAAACAAGUUUUCAUGUGAAUCAUGUAACAAAGCAAAUGCCAUUUAACAUUUGAUUUUGAUAAUUACU